Balaenoptera ricei (Rice's whale) is the source of this 1081-nucleotide long non-coding RNA. RefSeq lists it as uncharacterized. The transcript is spliced from 5 exons. NCBI's taxonomy places the organism in Eukaryota, Metazoa, Chordata, Mammalia, Artiodactyla, Balaenopteridae. The record is from RefSeq and is a predicted model, not a curated record.
CCAGCGUCGGUCCGGGCUGCUGUGCGCCGGGGGGCGCUCACGGGGCCCUGGCGGGGACGUGGGGGUCUCGCAGCUGGUGCGAGGAGGCAGGGCCUCAAAGCUGAAGCCCUCGCGGGUGUAGACGUGCAGGAUCCGCGCGGACCCGUCCCCGUACACGCGCCCGGCCUCCGCCUCCGCCCAGGGCGCGCGCAGCAGCGGCUUCAGGGUGUAGCGCGCGUGCUUGACCGCGAAGAAGCCGUCGAGACCACCGCAGAGGUCAAAGACGGCCAGAGAGCGGGGGCUGCCGUCCACCGUGCCCCGGUAGAAGCAGUGGCCCCGGUGGCGCCGGGUCGCGUUCGGCCCGCCUCCUGCGGGCACAAAGCCAGCGGCGCCCACCGAACCAUCCCGCUCUAGGUCCAGGAGGAACCUCCGGCCGCCCGCGUAGAUCAGGGCAUUGUUCCAUUGCCUUUUAGCAUCCAGUGAACUUUUGACUGCCAUUUCUUUGCAUGUGACUUGUGUACCCUGCCAGGGCUUAUCCUAAAGUUCCUGCUGACACACUGUGGCAAUAGCUCAAGGAUGCUCCAGAGAAAACUGGAUGAGCGGACUGUGGGGAGAAAUAUAUAUCUGCUCUUCGUCUUUGAUUCCCGACACGGAGCUUCUAAAACCCUUGGAAUUUCCUGAUUGAUGAGAUUUUCCCCAACUGCUCAAGACUUUGGAAUGGCUAUAUGGAUGAAACAAAUGACUCUUCUGGCGUUGGAUGUUGAAUGGCUUUACUUUCUCACACAUUCUUGGACCUUGGAGUGUUUUUCCCGUGCAGGGCCUGUGACCUACAGAUGGCUGUGGUAUAUUCAAUACAUUGAAAAAAAUACAAAGAUGUUCAUUAUUAUAUUAUUCUACAUUUUUCCUUCUUUUCUCGUGGGAUUGUUUCACAAUGGCUAAAUUUAGUGGUCAGCAUUUACUGCAAAAAACUGGUGACACAGGGACUCAGGGUCUAGAAAUUUAUCUCAGCAGAAUGGACUUCUAAAAUGCCAAUCCAUAUAAACAAGGGAAUCAUAAAUUUUAGCAGAAAGUUGAUACAUAUAUAUCUCAGAAGGAAAAAUGU